Equus quagga is the source of this 251-nucleotide long non-coding RNA. RefSeq lists it as uncharacterized. NCBI's taxonomy places the organism in Eukaryota, Metazoa, Chordata, Mammalia, Perissodactyla, Equidae. The transcript is spliced from 4 exons. The record is from RefSeq and is a predicted model, not a curated record.
UCCUCAUUGUCUGGCUUUAUUUUUUGCAUAUUCUUUUUGUUCUUUGACAGAAAUAAGAAUGCUUUAGUAGCCUUUUCAGAGUCCUCUAGCCAGAACAUCAACAAUAGUUCUGAUUGGAAUAAAUUGACAUCAGUAGCCACUGAGGAAGUCUCCAGCAAAAGCCCUGCACCAAGUGAACUGAGCACAGUAUCUUCUGAAAGCUUCUACGAUGCCAACCCUGCACCAAGUGAACUGACCACAGUAUCUUCUGA